AGUUUGAUCCUGGCUCAGGACGAACGCUGGCGGCGUGCUUAACACAUGCAAGUCGAACGAUGAUGCCCAGCUUGCUGGGUGGAUUAGUGGCGAACGGGUGAGUAACACGUGAGUAACCUGCCCCUGACUCUGGGAUAAGCGUUGGAAACGACGUCUAAUACUGGAUAUGAUCACUGGCCGCAUGGUCUGGUGGUGGAAAGAUUUUUUGGUUGGGGAUGGACUCGCGGCCUAUCAGCUUGUUGGUGAGGUAAUGGCUCACCAAGGCGACGACGGGUAGCCGGCCUGAGAGGGUGACCGGCCACACUGGGACUGAGACACGGCCCAGACUCCUACGGGAGGCAGCAGUGGGGAAUAUUGCACAAUGGGCGAAAGCCUGAUGCAGCAACGCCGCGUGAGGGAUGACGGCCUUCGGGUUGUAAACCUCUUUUAGUAGGGAAGAAGCGAAAGUGACGGUACCUGCAGAAAAAGCACCGGCUAACUACGUGCCAGCAGCCGCGGUAAUACGUAGGGUGCAAGCGUUGUCCGGAAUUAUUGGGCGUAAAGAGCUCGUAGGCGGUUUGUCGCGUCUGCUGUGAAAUCCCGAGGCUCAACCUCGGGCUUGCAGUGGGUACGGGCAGACUAGAGUGCGGUAGGGGAGAUUGGAAUUCCUGGUGUAGCGGUGGAAUGCGCAGAUAUCAGGAGGAACACCGAUGGCGAAGGCAGAUCUCUGGGCCGUAACUGACGCUGAGGAGCGAAAGCAUGGGGAGCGAACAGGAUUAGAUACCCUGGUAGUCCAUGCCGUAAACGUUGGGCGCUAGAUGUAGGGACCUUUCCACGGUUUCUGUGUCGUAGCUAACGCAUUAAGCGCCCCGCCUGGGGAGUACGGCCGCAAGGCUAAAACUCAAAGGAAUUGACGGGGGCCCGCACAAGCGGCGGAGCAUGCGGAUUAAUUCGAUGCAACGCGAAGAACCUUACCAAGGCUUGACAUACACCGGAAACGGCCAGAGAUGGUCGCCCCCUUGUGGUCGGUGUACAGGUGGUGCAUGGUUGUCGUCAGCUCGUGUCGUGAGAUGUUGGGUUAAGUCCCGCAACGAGCGCAACCCUCGUUCUAUGUUGCCAGCGGGUUAUGCCGGGGACUCAUAGGAGACUGCCGGGGUCAACUCGGAGGAAGGUGGGGAUGACGUCAAAUCAUCAUGCCCCUUAUGUCUUGGGCUUCACGCAUGCUACAAUGGCCGGUACAAAGGGCUGCGAUACCGUAAGGUGGAGCGAAUCCCAAAAAGCCGGUCUCAGUUCGGAUUGAGGUCUGCAACUCGACCUCAUGAAGUCGGAGUCGCUAGUAAUCGCAGAUCAGCAACGCUGCGGUGAAUACGUUCCCGGGCCUUGUACACACCGCCCGUCAAGUCAUGAAAGUCGGUAACACCCGAAGCCGGUGGCCUAACCCUUGUGGAAGGAGCCGUCGAAGGUGGGAUCGGUGAUUAGGACUAAGUCGUAACAAGGUAGCCGUACCGGAAGGUGCGGCUGGAUCACCUCCUU
RNAcentral lists this ribosomal RNA (1512 nucleotides) under Curtobacterium flaccumfaciens. Its description in RNAcentral is "16S ribosomal RNA". It matches the Rfam family "Bacterial small subunit ribosomal RNA". Lineage: Bacteria; Bacillati; Actinomycetota; Actinomycetes; Micrococcales; Microbacteriaceae. The record is from RNAcentral.